RNAcentral lists this unclassified non-coding RNA (349 nucleotides) under Hevea brasiliensis (rubber tree). The record is from RNAcentral. Lineage: Eukaryota; Viridiplantae; Streptophyta; Magnoliopsida; Malpighiales; Euphorbiaceae.
GCCUUGAUUGCACUCAGCAAUUGUAAUGAGGCAACAUGCCUCUCCUCUGGUGGUUCGGUUUCCUCAGAAACCAGGGCAGCAAGCUUGCCCCUUUUGGGACACUCAAAUGCUCUAUGAGGCCCAUUACAGAUGAAGCAAGUAAAUUUGGCUCUAGGAGACUCACCUUCUUUCUCCUUAGCCUUGUCCCUCGCCCCUUUGUUCCACCGGUUGUCCUUGCCCUGCUUGGACUUGUCUCCACCUCCGGCUUUGUGGCUUCGGUCUGGUUUCUUUCCCUUAUCCUUGCUGGGCUCCUUCUUCUUGAAUUCGAUAAGGGAUUCAGCAGCUGCCAUUGCGGUGGCAAGGUCUUGCA